This 433-nucleotide ribosomal RNA is filed under the name uncultured bacterium. RNAcentral's name for it is "partial 16S ribosomal RNA". It matches the Rfam family "Bacterial small subunit ribosomal RNA", at positions 29 to 507 of the family's 1533-position model. The record is from RNAcentral.
AACGAACGCUGGCGGCAUGCCUAACACAUGCAAGUCGAACGAUCCCUUCGGGGAUAGUGGCGCACGGGUGCGUAACGUGUGGGAACCUGCCCUUAGGUUCGGAAUAACUCAGAGAAAUUUGAGCUAAUACCGGAUAAUGUCUUCGGACCAAAGAUUUAUCGCCUUUGGAUGGGCCCGCGUUGGAUUAGCUAGUUGGUGGGGUAAAGGCCUACCAAGGCGACGAUCCAUAGCUGGUCUGAGAGGAUGAUCAGCCACACUGGGACUGAGACACGGCCCAGACUCCUACGGGAGGCAGCAGUGGGGAAUAUUGGACAAUGGGCGAAAGCCUGAUCCAGCAAUGCCGCGUGAGUGAUGAAGGCCUUAGGGUUGUAAAGCUCUUUUACCCGGGAUGAUAAUGACAGUACCGGGAGAAUAAGCCCCGGCUAACUCCGUG